Molecule: ribosomal RNA, 235 nt
Filed under: uncultured Planctomycetales bacterium
Lineage: Bacteria; Pseudomonadati; Planctomycetota; Planctomycetia; Planctomycetales
Description: partial 16S ribosomal RNA
Rfam family: Bacterial small subunit ribosomal RNA
Source: RNAcentral
GGAGUUAGGUUAUGUAGGUGCGCUAAUAUCGUGCCUAUUUGACAAAGGCUCCUAAGGAAGCCACGGCUAACUCUGUGCCAGCAGCCGCGGUAAUACAGAGGUGGCAAGCGUUGUUCGGUAUUAUUGGGCGUAUAGAGCACGUAGGUGGAUUUGUAAGUCAGAUGUGAAAGCCUUCUGUUCAACGGGAGAAUUGCAUCUGAAACUACAAACCUUGAGUAUAGGAGGGGAGAAGUGG